AAUAGAUACCCUGGUAGUCCACGCCGUAAACGUUGGGCGCUAGAUGUGGGGACCUUUCCACGGUUUCCGUGUCGUAGCUAACGCAUUAAGCGCCCCGCCUGGGGAGUACGGCCGCAAGGCUAAAACUCAAAGGAAUUGACGGGGGGCCCGCACAAGCGGCGGAGCAUGCGGAUUAAUUCGAUGCAACGCGAAGAACCUUACCAAGGCUUGACAUAACCGAGAACACCGUAGAAAUACGGGACUCUUUGGACACUCGGUUACAGGUGGUGCAUGGUUGUCGUCAGCUCGUGUCGUGAGAUGUUGGGUUAAGUCCCGCAACGAGCGCAACCCUCGUCGCAUGUUGCCAGCACGUCAUGGUGGGAACUCAUGUGAGACUGCCGGGGUCAACUCGGAGGAAGGUGGGGAUGACGUCAAAUCAUCAUGCCCCUUAUGUCUUGGGCUUCACGCAUGCUACAAUGGCCGGUACAAAGGGCUGCGAUGUCGUAAGGCGGAGCGAAUCCCAAAAGCCGGUCUCAGUUCGGAUUGAGGUCUGC
This 533-nucleotide ribosomal RNA is filed under the name uncultured bacterium. RNAcentral describes it as "bacterial SSU rRNA". It matches the Rfam family "Bacterial small subunit ribosomal RNA", at positions 777 to 1308 of the family's 1533-position model. The record is from RNAcentral.